AAGCCCCUCUGGGCUGCCUGGACGGAUGAAGUCCAGGUGGAAAGCCAGUCGACGUUUCCCGGGAGCUACGACUCCAGGGACCCUCAUCCGAGCUUAACCGUUGGAACAAUCACAAACCCAGAAACUUUUAGCUGAGUGUUAUUUAUAAAAAGCGCUGUUUUGACUGCUGUUGGACUUGGAAAAGCUUUGCCCACGAUACUGAAGCGUAAUUAGCUGCCUACUUUUCAAAAUUAUGUGAUGACUUCAUGGGAAAAGAGAUUCACAAGAACCAGUAACAGGAAAGCUUAAAUAAGCUUGGAAAUCUUUAAACUUUCAAUAUCGGCUCCAAACAGGCAUGCGAGGUGCCUUUGGAAUGCCCCAGGGCACUGUGGCCAGGGUUCACAUUGGCCAAGUUAUCAUGUCCAUCCGCACCAAGCUGCAGAACAAGGAGCAUGUGAUUGAGGCCCUGCGCAGGGCCAAGUUCAAGCUUCCUGGCCACCAGAAGAUCCACAUCUCAAAGAAGUGGGGCUUCACCAAGUUCAAUGCUGAUGAAUUUGAAGACAUGGUGGCUGAGAAGUGGCUCAUCCCAGAUGGCUGUGGGGUCAAGUACAUCCCCAAUCGUGGCCCUCUGGACAAGUGGCGGGCCCUGCACUCAUGAGGGCUUCCAAUGUGCUGCCCCCCUCUUAAUACUCACCAAUAAAUUCUACUUCCUGUCAAAAAAAUGUCACUAAUGUACCCUAAAUUUUCUUUUUUAUUUUUAUUUUUUAUUUAUUUAUUUAUUUUUUUGAGAUGGUGUCUUGCUCUUUUGCCCAGACUGGAGUGAAGUAGCAUGAUCUUGGCUUACUGCAACCUCCACCCCCCAGGUUCACCCUGUGAUUCUCCUGCCUCGCCCCCUGAGUAGCUGGGAUUACAGGUGCCCACCACCAGGCCUGGCUAAUUUUUAUAUUUUUAGUAGAGACUAAAUUUUCUAUGGUUUAUCCACCUUGCAGUUCACAUAUGGCUUGUCAGAACAUCUGGAGCAUUUGCUACUUCAUGCUCACUAGUUUGAUUAAUAUAAUGUCAUUUAACUCGUGGACCAGCAGAUUCUGUGCAGUGUCCCUUUAGACUCUAUUGCAACAGAAAGCAGCAGAGUUAACAUAGACCUGGGGCAACUCUCUGAACUUGCACUGCUGUCCAAUCAGGUAAAUGCUAAGGGCUUUCAGUCCUUUCUCCUGAUAACAACUUUAAAAAAUUCAUUUUCCAGUUUCAUAGCAGCUGUGUUGAUUUGUUCUGUUAGCAGUACUACAUACAACAUAGCAGCUAUGAUUAACACUACCACUUGGUCAGUUUUAUGGUAAGUCCACUAUUGUUUGCUGUGAUCACCCUGAUUUUUGUAGGGGCCAUAUCAGUGAAUUAAAUGGGAAUAUGAUGGGGUCCAUCAUUCAUCAAUCUUUUAGACUUUGAAGAUGGCACAAGUCUCUGCCAUUCCAAAUGACCUAUAGAUUGCUUUUGAUUUAUUAUUUUGGCCAGGUUGCAACGGUGAUUUCAGAAACUUGCACUUGGCUUUUUCUACCACUGUGGCACUUAUCUAGCUGGUGAAGGAACUAAUGUGAGGCUUCUGCCAGCUACUAGGAAUAUCCAAUUUUGCAUUUAUAACUAGGAAAAUAUUCAUCUUGAAGGCCUUAGACUCAUUAGACCCACUGUGAGAUAGACUUGAGAUAGGACACCCAUUUGUCACCUUGCCUCCGUAGAGCCACACUCUAACAGGGGCCAUCAUCACCUAUGUGUCCUCCUAAUAUCAGCGUCAUCUUUUUCUCUAUUUUCAGAAGCCCUUGAAAGAUCUGUAUUAUCCUUUCUCCAGUGUACAGUUAAGAAGAUGAAAGGCCCAAGAUUCUUUUGAUUAAGGAUUAGUGAAAUAUUUAUUUCAUAUACUUGCUAUAGCAUUGCAAAGACCUUUUGAAGGGGAACCUGACCUCUUCUUUCUCAAUUGAUGAGCUGUAUGACUAAGAAUUGGCUCAGAUCUAGACAGCAGAUAAGGGAGCAUGAUUUUCCAUUGCAAUGGCCAUUGCAGUGGCCGACGCCAACCAUUUGCUUUCCAGCUCUUGAUUAUUUAUGUUUAUAGAAAUCAAGGAAUAACCUUUAUUAGUUGCUAAUUUAUUUAACCCCAAGGAACACCCUGGUCAGUUUGCCAUUACCACAGACCCCUGUGGGUCAAGUUUCCUUGGUGACAUUAUGGCCUGUGUCUGUUACAGUAAUUGUGUCAGGCUUACCUCUGAUAGUUAAGUGGUGCCACCUGGCCUCUGUUAUUUCAGAAUCUUAUAACAUCUCCAUUAUCACUAGGAAGCUCAAUUUUAUAGCCAUCUCCUCUCCUAUCAACCCUGGUCUAGAGAUGACAUCUAUCAUCAUUCAUUUUUAAAUGAUGCCAGCACUCCCUCGUUAGUGCAUUCCUUGUAGUUUUAGGGGAGUGCCUACCCAGGUCCUUCCAGGUAAGAAUCAGCUAGUGUGUUCUCAGGUCUUAUGAAAUGAGCCCAAGUCUUUAAGACCCCUUCCUCAAUACUCUGCCAAGGCAGUGCUGGCAUCUCCACUAUAGACCAUCCUUAUUUCCAGACUUCAAGGAGCCAGCCAGCAGUGUAUUAGAACUGACUCCAGGCAACCUUGUCAAGGUAUUAUCAUCUAAGUCUCAGGAGACUGUCCGAUAUCAAUGAAUUCCCUAUAUUCUGUCCCACCUCAACCCUCAUUCCCCAUUCAACACUCUCAGCUUAUAUAUAUAUGUAUGUGUGUGUGUGUAUAUAUGUAUAUAUAUAUAUAUAUAUAUAUAUAUAUAUAUAUAUAUAUAUAUAUCUCACAUAUACUCUGCUGGUUCUUGCUAAUACCCACUAUCCAGGUUCUGAGACUUUGGGGGUAAAUUAUCUAUUUACUUAAAUAACAGGGACAGUAAUUCCCCACUUGAACCAUGCUGAGACCUGACCCCAGUCAUUUGUCUAAAAGCAAUGAGAGGAGGUGAAAGGAGAUCUUGAGGAGGGCAAACAUUGUUUUGUGAAGCCCCAGGAGAGAUUUUUCAGUGGUCCUCAGGCAAUGGGAUGCAACAGGGAGAGGGUUGCCCAUACCAGCCAGAGAUGCUGAAGAGUUAAUGCCAGUAGUAUUAAUACAAUUCUCAGCAAAUAAGGGAAGGGGUUGCUUGGGACUCACCUCUUAAUGGCACAGUUCUGAGGUGUAUUAUACACAUUCUCUCAGAAAGGCCACAGCAACACUGAACUCUGUUUUCUGAAAAUGGUUACCAGUUGAUAAUGGUGCUGAAUAAGCGAUAUACAUAUGCAUGGCAUUCCGGGCACCUGUGCUAAGCAUUUUCUAAGAAUCACUCCUUUUAUUCUCCCAAGGAAGGAAGGAAAGUCAAUAAAAAGUAUAUUACCACCAGAUAUUUCCUCCUAAACACAGAAAAUGAAGAUGAUUUUCUUUUUUUUUU
Molecule: long non-coding RNA, 3421 nt
Filed under: Homo sapiens (human)
Lineage: Eukaryota; Metazoa; Chordata; Mammalia; Primates; Hominidae
Description: non-protein coding lnc-VWC2L-1:13
Source: RNAcentral